UUACUGAAAAAAUAGUGUUUUUAUUUACUUUUGAGUUACAUACCUGAAGUUCAAAAAGUAAGCCUCUAGUUGCCAUUCAAGUUCACACUCGAGGGUGUUCUGUGUGCAGCUGUACAAUUUGUUGGUUUGUCUUUAAUAUUGAACAAAAGUCAGCCAACCCAUACCAUAAAGUCAGCUGCCCAAACUCACUUUAGCCAGUCCAUACAUACAUACAGAAAAGAGAGAGAGAGGGAGAACACAAAAGCCGCCCCUAAGUCACCCACCCCAAACCCCAAGGGAAAAAUCAGAAAGAAGACAAAAUACAGCAAGAUAUCAGGAGCCAGUGGGAGGAGGGAGAUUCAGCCCAACUGGCCUCUUCGAGAACAGCACCAUGAAGCACCCUAGCGCAGUGAUGUUGUAAUACUCAACAUUCAAGAAAUGGAAACGAGGUUGGAGUUGUCUUCACAGGAAGACCUGGCAUGGAUCGGGGGUCACCCCCAAAGAAAGUGGAAGAAAGAAAGAGUUCGAAAUGAGAGCAAGAAAUCUCAUGACGAAACUGACAGUCAUAUCCAGAAAAGAAGAACUACAGCAAGAGGCUGCCACGCACCGAGAGGUACAGAGUUUGUAAGGGAUCUGGGGGAGGUAGCAUCAGGAGCCCCUCCCCACCCACACUGCCUGCUCACCCCCACCCUCUGUGUGUCCACAGACCACCAGGUGAAAUGGAGGAAAGAAGCUCAUCUAAAACUUGCCUCCAAGUGUGCGAUGGGAGAAUUCUAUCCCGCAUGAUCAAAGUCCCUCCUGGGAAGAGAAAAAACUGAAGACCAAGGGGCAGGAGUCGCUGACAUGAAGCAGGAUGUGGUCCCUUCACGUCAGUGGCUGCAGAAAAGCAGCAGCAACUGGUGACAGUGCCCCCUUCCGGGCCCUCUAUCCCUAGCCCCACAAAUGGCAGUUAGGAAAUUAAAUCUGAAUGGGAGGUCAAGACCUUUUGACACUGAUGUAUACAACUUAGCAAGUGGAGCGUUAAACUGCUGUUCUCCCCUAGCCAACAAUUCCCCUUUCUAACACCUCAGUCUAAAGUUCCAGAAUCAAGACUAUCCCAUCAAGUACCUUCCUCCCGGUCCCCAGACUCUGCGACCCCACCCUCCAGUGCCACAGUCAACCCCCUACAGACAGGAAGUGUGCUAUGCAGGCUUGCUUCUUCCCCCGCCUCCUACUCUCAAACUGCUCAAAGUGGGUUGAUAGGAACAUCGACCACAAAGAGGAGUGGAAGCGCGCAGCAAAAAUCCAAGACAAGGCCCCUCUUCCCCAAGCUGUUGGUUGGUGACAAUGGGGAAGAGGGACAGGCCCACACUGACCCACGGGAGGGCGGUUCUCACAGAUCUCCCUAUUCCCAACUCUUGCUCUGUACAGCAGACAGAGGUAGCAAGACAGAAACAACUCCUCAGAUACCCCCACCUUCUACCAAAGGGGAAAAGCACCAAAAUUCAAUGUCCAUUCUGCUGCGGGGACCAAGGAAUGUGUCCCAAGCAUGGGGAAGAGCUCAGGCUCCUGGCAGUGGCUGUGGGCCGUAGAGGCCCCAUCAGAGCACACUCAUCCACCUGUCCCACCAACUGAUGCCACAAGCGGUUCCCAGGCCUCCUCCUUACUCCACAUAAAGCUGAUCUCAAUGCCCUUUGCUCCAAGUGCCUUAAGGGCUGGCUCUUCAGAGAAGCUGGAAGUCCCCUCUGACACCCACUCUUACCUCAUCUUGCUAAGCAGUGGAGCAGAAAGGUCACAGGGAGGCACUAACAUCCCCUCCACACUGUACAAUUUCAAGGUACAUAGCCCCAUCUUCCCUUUCCCUCCCCAAAACAAAGAGUCCAGUUGGAGGCUGAGGAAUGGAAUGGUGACAUGCGGACCAGUGGCUCUCCCAGACCUUGAUGCUGCUGAGGACCUAGUCUUGGGCUGGCCCUGGUGGGAGGGUGAGCCCUAGGACGUGCCCGGGGUGCUGGAACGAUUUACUCUGCUGGUGGCAUGUGGCCCAGAAGUCGGGCAGAGUCCACGGAAACAGAGGGGAUGGUGGGUCUAGGAGCCAAAAGAACGGUGAUGGAAGCCUCCCUCGUGCAGAGACCGUGGUGGCCUGGGAAGGCUUCAAGGUGGGAAGGGAACAGAAUUUGCAGCUCUUCUUCUUGCCCAAGUCCCCUGAAAAAUCUUACAAGAAAUACUCAGCUGCAGGAGGCUGGAAGAAAGAUCAGUCAAGGCAAGGAUGGACACACUGCGAGUGGCGCCAGCACUGGGCCCUUCCAGCUGUGUGGACACAGCCCAUUUCCCAUCAGCAUCCUCGGAAAGUGGGAAGUGUUCUCAGCAGUUAAUCUGAGGACCCAAGGACAGUGCCUGACUGAAUGGCAGGGCCUCAUAGGUCCAUGCGAGGAUCAAGAGUUAGACUCAAGCUUCACCCGAACCUACUCUUCCCAUAAUACACCAAAACUGUCAACCAAGCCCUUCGCACAGUGAAGCCAUCUGC
Molecule: long non-coding RNA, 2482 nt
Organism: Macaca fascicularis (crab-eating macaque)
Lineage: Eukaryota; Metazoa; Chordata; Mammalia; Primates; Cercopithecidae
Source: Ensembl